CCGAACCAUUCAGUGAGCUCUCGAAGCACUGGGGAUGGGGGCGGGGUCAUCCUGGAAGUGACCACGCCCACCAGGAUAGAUACUUUUAUCAUAGGAUAAAAGUGAUCAGUCAGAAGAGCUUUCUAUUGAUUUGCAGUGACGCUUUCCUCUAAAGGGACACGUGCACGCAAAGCAAGCUGGCAAAAUAAAUAAAUACGCCCAAACGUAACGUAGCCACCAUUUUUUCCCUUUAAUUUGUACACCCGUCUGACCUUUUACGGAACUGGGAUUGUGCAGCUAUAGGUAUCAACCUAUAGAGCUGUAGAACUAAAUGGUAUAAGGAUUGAAACAAGUGAGAUCAGCCUUGAAAGUAAACCAUUUGACGUUCUCUUCUCUUGGGGUUCUCCUCUCUAUUUGGUGCUAAAGACAAUAAAGACAACGAAGAACGCUACUCGUCCAUCCCGACUUCCUGCUGUCCAUGUGUAAAUAUCAGCCGGUGUAUGUAAUGUACAGAUCGUGUUGAAUUAUUUAUUAUAACCCACAUUUAUUUUUAUACAAUUAUUUAAAAUGUUAACGAAGCCAUUUGUGAAUUGUCGCAAAUUUUGUUUUGGGUUUUAUAAUAAGUGUUUUUCGUCAUCGAAAACUCUUCUGCGUCAGGGUGGGUAGGACAUAAAGAAACCAGCAGCUCCACAAUAACACACGGGGGGAAAAGUAUUUACAUCCUACGCUUUCAUGUUCCAUACAUACGACCCGUGGAGGGUUAAGACUCUGUGGGUGCUGUAGAAAGGAAGUCAGGUUUUCCUAACCGACCUAGCUAGAGUUCUGGAGAUCUCGCCGAUUGAUGAUGUAAGCAGAAUGUAGUUUUCUUGAAUCACAGGUCUAUCAUUCGAGGAUGAGAUGUCUGAUUUGGGAUCAUCUCGUAGUAUGUGUGACAAGAAAUAAUCUUAAAGGACAGGAUGAAAGCGGGAUUAGCUUAGUGGAGGCAAAAUGGAAACUCGGGAUGAGUCUAGAGAAUGAAGCAGGUAAGGGAAGUCGCUCUGGGAAUGUAACCUUCAUAAGCAGGUGGAAAACAUUUCGCUGAUUGUAACGUUUCAGACAGCGUAAGCCGCAUGUAUCAGUGGACAAACAAGGCCCAGAACGUACACAACUAUAAAGUUAGGCAAGACUCCGAUUAUGAAUGGAAUAGCAGAAUAAAAACGUCGACUGAGGGGUCUGAGAGAAAAUCGGCCGUGCUCUGUGGGUGGGAGGAAUGGCGUUACUCACUACUGUCAAUCACGGUGGCACUAACCAAUCGUAGGUGUCUGUGAGUUCGUGUAUUUGGGAAAGUGUAUACAGUGAAGGGGAGGGUAUAUAUAAUAUAUAUAUAUAUAUAUAUAUAUAUAUUUUAAAUAAAAGGAAUAUUGCAGUUUGUUUCAUCCUCAUCUCUCCUGACCACAUCUGGAGUGAAUGUGUUAAUACUACACACACACACACACACACACACACACACACAAACACAAAUCAUUUCCCAGUACUGAGGGGAAAAAAAACCCCUGAAAACCUGUUUACUUCAUACGUAGAAGUCUCAGGGCAGAUGUUGAAUUCUGUCGAUAAAUGUUUAAAAUAUAGUAUGUGCCUACAUUUUGCAAAAUUCAAACAAUACAACAAUUAAAACGUUAGCCAUAAAGGUCCACGAAAGAUAAGACGGAAGUGAAGAGUGUCUUCGCAAGAGUGGUUUUAUGAGAGAACAGCUAUCCAAGACUAUGUUAAGAAAUUCGGUAAAAAGUAGUUCCGGUUACUUUCCCUCAGAAGAAGUAGUCCAAAUUCUGGAAGAUAUACAGUACAGAAUAUACAGAUUGGAUCUUAUUUACAAAUAAAUCUGUCUCAAGAAUUAAAGUUUGUGGACUUUAAAUAUAUAUAUAUAUAUAUAUAUA
Long non-coding RNA from Ictalurus punctatus (channel catfish), 1892 nucleotides. NCBI's taxonomy places the organism in Eukaryota, Metazoa, Chordata, Actinopteri, Siluriformes, Ictaluridae. The record is from Ensembl.